Molecule: ribosomal RNA, 24 nt
Filed under: Keratoisis projecta
Lineage: Eukaryota; Metazoa; Cnidaria; Anthozoa; Scleralcyonacea; Keratoisididae
Description: partial 5.8S ribosomal RNA
Source: RNAcentral
AGCAUGUCUGUUCGAGUGUUGGUU